CUUGCACAGCUCAGUAGCACGUGGCAACCUACCCUUGGGACGGAAGAACCCCCGGGAAACUGGGGCUAAUUUCCGAUAGGUGAAGAUGCCUGGAAUGGUUUUUCGCUUAAAGGGCGCUUAGGGCAUGCUUCUAGGCGUUGCCCAAGGAUGGGGCCGCGGCCGAUCAGGUUGUUGGUAAGGUAACGGCUUACCAAGCCUUUAACCGGUGCGGGCCGUGGGAGCGGAAGCCCGGAGAUGGGCACUGAGACAAGGGCCCAGGCCCUACGGGGCGCAGCAGUCGCGAAAACUUCGCAAUAAGCGAAAGCUUGACGGUGCUAUUCCGAGUGCCAUCCGCUGAGGAUGGCUUUUCCCUAAUAUAGAUAGCUGGGGGAAUAAGGAGAGGGCCAGUCUGGUGUCAGACGGCGUGGUAAUUACAGCUCUCCGAGUGGUGGGGACGUUUAUUGGGCCUAAAGCAUCCGUAGCCGGCUGGGUAAGUCCCCUGUUAAACCCAGCGACUUAAUCGUUGGUCUGCGGGGGAUACUACUCGGCUAGGGGGCGAGAGAGGCCGUCGGUAUUCCCGGGGUAGGGGUGAAAUCCUAUAAUCCCGGGAGGACCACCAGUGGCGAAGGCUGUCGGCUAGAACGCGCCCGACGGUGAGGGAUGAAAGCUGGGGGAGCGAACCGGAUUAGAUACCCGGGUAGUCCCAGCUGUAAACGAUGCAGGCUAGGUGUUAGGGCGGCCACGUGCCGCUCUAGUGCCGCAGGGAAGCUGUUAAGCCUGCCGCCUGGGGAAACGGCUGCAAGGCUGACUUAAACCA
This 796-nucleotide ribosomal RNA is filed under the name uncultured soil archaeon. Its description in RNAcentral is "bacterial SSU rRNA". It matches the Rfam family "Archaeal small subunit ribosomal RNA", at positions 80 to 863 of the family's 1478-position model. The record is from RNAcentral.